GACGAACGCUGGCGGCGUGCUUAAUACAUGCAAGUCGAGCGAGGUCCAUCUGGUGGCAACACCAGUGAAGGCCGAGCGGCGAACGGGUGAGUAACACGUGAGCAACCUGCCCCGAAGUCUGGAAUAACAUCGGGAAACCGGUGCUAAUACCGGAUCGCCCCACCUGACCGCAUGAUCGGGGUGAAGGAAAGAUUUAUCGCUUCGGGGAGGGGCUCGCGGCCUAUCAGCUAGUUGGUGGGGUAACGGCCUACCAAGGCAUCGACGGGUAGCUGGUCUGAGGAGGACGACCAGCCACACUGGGACUGAGACACGGCCCAGACUCCUACGGGAGGCAGCAGGUAGGGAAUCUUGCGCAAGUGGG
This 361-nucleotide ribosomal RNA is filed under the name uncultured bacterium. Its description in RNAcentral is "bacterial SSU rRNA". It matches the Rfam family "Bacterial small subunit ribosomal RNA", at positions 28 to 376 of the family's 1533-position model. The record is from RNAcentral.